RNAcentral lists this long non-coding RNA (1407 nucleotides) under Panax ginseng (ginseng). RNAcentral describes it as "long non-coding RNA (PGIN_LNC015415)". Lineage: Eukaryota; Viridiplantae; Streptophyta; Magnoliopsida; Apiales; Araliaceae. The record is from RNAcentral.
CGGUCAAUGUCGGUCAACCCACUUUGACCGCUUAUAAAUCCCGAUCUACAAUAGAUAUGCACUUGAUUCCUUUUGGAGGUUAAAGACCACAUAACAAGAUACACUUAACAACUUUUAAACAACACAAACAGUAAAUAAUCACAGAGUUAUAAGUCUUGACAUUUGCCCAAAAAUCACAGAAUUCGGUUUUUCCAACUUGCUCAAAUCUUCAAAUUCGUGCACUUUGAUGUUAUGGGUUCAUGAUUUUACAACCCAGAACAUUAAUAGACUCCCUAUUACACUACUUUAAACAAUCAAUUGCAUCAAUUAACAUCGAAUCGAAGGAUUUCAAAAUUAGGGAAUUUCAUACCUUUUCUAGCUUCGAUUUUUGAUUUUUUUGGCUUUGAUGCUUCUGAUUUGUUGUUUGUGAUGGCUGGGCUUUGAUUAGGAGCUUAUGGGCAAGAUAAUUUCGUUGGUAAGAGGUUGGGAGAGUGUGUCUAGAGAGUUGCUAUAAUUUUAGUGUGCAUUAAGCUUGAAUUUCCUUAAUUUCUAUUUAUAGACCAUUUAGAUUGCCUUGGAUGCUCAAUAAUGCUAGUAUAAUUGGAUGCUAGCUGAUAAAUAUAGUGGGGCAAGUAUGUUGGCCAUGAUUUGUUGCUAGAUUCCUCAAUAAUACACUAAUAAUACACUAAUAAGCCAAAAGGGCAAUUUAGUCAUUUCCACACUAAUGAUUGGUUUCUUCCUUUAAUAAUGUACAAGGGUAGUUUAGACUUCUCAUGUCUACCAUGAAGGGCAUUUUAGACAUUGGCCAUAACCAUUAGGCUUUAUCACUUUAGAUUUUAAAAUUCCAUAAUAUAACUAAUAAUACACUAAAAGGGUAUUUUGGUAAUUUCACAUAUAAUUUCAUGGACAUUUUUGUAUAUAGCAAUUAAAUGUAGUAUUUAAUCACUAGAUGGUAAUUCUUAUCAUUUACCAAUUACUUUCUAUCCUUUGGUAAAUUAAAACAUUUAUACAAUAACAUCGUAAUUAAACCCAAUAAUUUUAAAUUAGGGUUUUCUAUAGAAAAUUAGAAUUUUCUAAUUAGGGUUUCUUAACGUCAUCAAUUAGGGUUUCUAAUUGACCAUUAGGGUUCUCUAAUUAUCUGUGUAUGUUCUAACACAGUCAUUACGAUCUCUAACUUCAACCGAUUAGGGUUGUAAUAAUUAGGGUUUGUCCUAAUUAUCGACAAACAACAGUAAUUAGGGUUUUCUUCUAAUUACCGACAUCUUAUACACAGUAACCUUCAUAUACACAGUAAACUUCAUAUACACAGUCACUACUCAGUCAUUUCUCAUAACUAAGUUUAAUAAUUAGGGUUUCACAGCACGGUAAUAUGCUAUGACCUAAUUGACCGUCAUUGCUCAAUAUUAUCUGUCCGCACAUACACAGUAC